Molecule: ribosomal RNA, 799 nt
Filed under: Klebsiella michiganensis
Lineage: Bacteria; Pseudomonadati; Pseudomonadota; Gammaproteobacteria; Enterobacterales; Enterobacteriaceae
Description: bacterial LSU rRNA
Rfam family: Bacterial large subunit ribosomal RNA
Source: RNAcentral
GGGUUGUGAGGUUAAGCGACUAAGCGUACACGGUGGAUGCCCUGGCAGUCAGAGGCGAUGAAGGACGUGCUAAUCUGCGAAAAGCGUCGGUAAGGUGAUAUGAACCGUUAUAGCCGGCGAUGUCCGAAUGGGGAAACCCAGUGCAAUUCGUUGCACUAUCGUUUGAUGAAUACAUAGUCAAACGAGGCGAACCGGGGGAACUGAAACAUCUAAGUACCCCGAGGAAAAGAAAUCAACCGAGAUUCCCCCAGUAGCGGCGAGCGAACGGGGAGCAGCCCGGAGUCUGAAUCAGCUUGUGUGUUAGUGGAAGCGUCUGGAAAGUCGCAGGGUACAGGGUGAUACUCCCGUACACUAAAACACACAGGUUGUGAACUCGAAGAGUAGGGCGGGACACGUGGUAUCCUGUCUGAAUAUGGGGGGACCAUCCUCCAAGGCUAAAUACUCCUGACUGACCGAUAGUGAACCAGUACCGUGAGGGAAAGGCGAAAAGAACCCCGGCGAGGGGAGUGAAAAAGAACCUGAAACCGUGUACGUACAAGCAGUAGGAGCCCCACCACCAAAGCGUUUCGCUUUGCGUGGUGCGCAAAAUGCGUAACGACAGCGCGAUGGACGGUUAACGGAGCGUAAGCGACGUUCAACAUCAAAAAUCAGGCAGUGGAGCGUUUUGGGGUGGGGUGACUGCGUACCUUUUGUAUAAUGGGUCAGCGACUUAUAUUCUGUAGCAAGGUUAACCGUAUAGGGGAGCCGCAGGGAAACCGAGUCUUAACUGGGCGUUAAGUUGCAGGGUAUAGACCCGAAA